This 1463-nucleotide ribosomal RNA is filed under the name uncultured bacterium. RNAcentral describes it as "bacterial SSU rRNA". It matches the Rfam family "Bacterial small subunit ribosomal RNA". The record is from RNAcentral.
UUAACGCUGGCGGCAAGCCUAACACAUGCAAGUCGAGCGGCAGCGAAAGAGAGCUUGCUCUCUUGUCGGCAAGCGGCAAACGGGUGAGUAAUAUCUGGGGAUCUACCCAAAAGAGGGGGAUAACUACUAGAAAUGGUAGCUAAUACCGCAUAAUGUUGAAAAACCAAAGUGGGGGACCUUUUGGCCUCAUGCUUUUGGAUGAACCCAGACGAGAUUAGCUUGUUGGUAGAGUAAUAGCCUACCAAGGCAACGAUCUCUAGCUGGUCUGAGAGGAUAACCAGCCACACUGGAACUGAGACACGGUCCAGACUCCUACGGGAGGCAGCAGUGGGGAAUAUUGCACAAUGGGCGAAAGCCUGAUGCAGCUAUGCCGCGUGUAUGAAGAAGGCCUUAGGGUUGUAAAGUACUUUCAGCGGGGAGGAAAAAAAUAAAUCUAAUAAAUUUAUUUCGUGACGUUACCCGCAGAAGAAGCACCGGCUAACUCCGUGCCAGCAGCCGCGGUAAUACGGAGGGUGCAAGCGUUAAUCAGAAUUACUGGGCGUAAAGAGCACGUAGGUGGUUUUUUAAGUCAGGUGUGAAAUCCCUAGGCUCAACCUAGGAACUGCAUUUGAAACUGAAAAACUAGAGUCUCGUAGAGGGAGGUAGAAUUCUAGGUGUAGCGGUGAAAUGCGUAGAUAUCUGGAGGAAUACCUGUGGCGAAAGCGGCCUCCUAAACGAAUACUGACGCUGAGGUGCGAAAGCGUGGGGAGCAAACAGGAUUAGAUACCCUGGUAGUCCAUGCCGUAAACGAUGUCGACUUGGAGGUUGUUUCCAAGAGAAGUGACUUCCGAAGCUAACGCAUUAAGUCGACCGCCUGGGGAGUACGGCCGCAAGGCUAAAACUCAAAUGAAUUGACGGGGGCCCGCACAAGCGGUGGAGCAUGUGGUUUAAUUCGAUGCGACGCGAAAAACCUUACCUGGUCUUGACAUCCACAGAAUUUUUUAGAAAUAAAAAAGUGCCUUCGGGAACUGUGAGACAGGUGCUGCAUGGCUGUCGUCAGCUCGUGUUGUGAAAUGUUGGGUUAAGUCCCGCAACGAGCGCAACCCUUGUCCUUUGUUGCCAGCGCGUGAUGGCGGGAACUCAAAGGAGACUGCCGGUGAUAAACCGGAGGAAGGUGAGGAUGACGUCAAGUCAUCAUGGCCCUUACGAGUAGGGCUACACACGUGCUACAAUGGCGCAUACAAAGAGCAGCGAGCGUGCGAACGUAAGCAAACCUCAUAAAGUGCGUCGCAGUCCGGAUUGGAGUCUGCAACUCGACUCCAUGAAGUCGGAAUCGCUAGUAAUCGUAGAUCAGAAUGCUACGGUGAAUACGUUCCCGGGCCUUGUACACACCGCCCGUCACACCAUGGGAGUGGGCGGCAAAAGAAGUAGGUAGCUUAACCUUCGGGGGGGCGCUUACCACUUUGUGGUUCAUGACUGGGGUG